AUGGGUGAGGUUCAAACUUCUUCUUCGAUCGUGGUCUUCUUCUACAAGCUCUACACGAUGACACUCUUCUCCAGUAAACAAAAUACGUCAUCGCCGCCGCUCAAUAUUGACGAUCCGUUUGUCUCAGCUUCUUCUUUCUCAAACGUGAUAAUGUUUUCUCUGAAUACACGGCGGCGACUUCGUCUUCUUCGUCGAGUACCGUUCGCUUCGUUCUCAACAAUAUGCGACAGCUCUAUUCAAUCUUUGUUCCCCCUAAAUUUUAUCGCCUCCUUCUCAAUAUAA
This is a non-coding RNA of Vicia faba (fava bean), 282 nucleotides long. The record is from the annotation of a GenBank genome assembly. Lineage: Eukaryota; Viridiplantae; Streptophyta; Magnoliopsida; Fabales; Fabaceae.